AUUCCAGCUCCAAUAGCGUAUAUUAAAGUUGUUGCAGUUAAAAAGCUCGUAGUUGGAUUUCUGGUGGGAGCGAUCGGUCUGGCGCUUAGCGCGAGUACUUGCAUCGUCUCCGGCCAUCCUUGGGGAGAGUUUGUCUGGCAUUAAGUUGUCGGGCAGAGGAUCCUCAUCGUUUACUGUGAAAAAAUUAGAGUGUUCAAAGCAGGCUUAUGCCGUUGAAUAUAUUAGCAUGGAAUAAUAAGAUAGGACUUUGGUACUAUUUUGUUGGUUUGCGCACCAAAGUAAUGAUUAAUAGGGGCAGUUGGGGGUAUUCGUAUUCCGUUGUCAGAGGUGAAAUUCUUGGAUUUACGGAAGACGAACUACUGCGAAAGCAUUUACCAAGGAUGUUUUCAUUA
Molecule: ribosomal RNA, 392 nt
Filed under: Minutocellus sp.
Lineage: Eukaryota; Bacillariophyta; Thalassiosirophyceae; Cymatosirales; Cymatosiraceae
Description: partial small subunit ribosomal RNA
Rfam family: Eukaryotic small subunit ribosomal RNA
Source: RNAcentral